RNAcentral lists this ribosomal RNA (439 nucleotides) under uncultured bacterium. RNAcentral's name for it is "partial 16S ribosomal RNA". It matches the Rfam family "Bacterial small subunit ribosomal RNA", at positions 339 to 795 of the family's 1533-position model. The record is from RNAcentral.
CUACGGGUCGCAGCAGUGGGGGAUAUUGCACAAUGGGCGAAAGCCUGAUGCAGCAACGCCGCGUGAAGGAAGACGGUUUUCGGAUUGUAAACUUCUAUCAGCAGGGAAGAAAAUGACUGUACCUGACUAAGAAGCCCCGGCUAACUACGUGCCAGCAGCCGCGGUAAUACGUAGGGGGCAAGCGUUAUCCGGAAUUACUGGGUGUAAAGGGUACGUAGGCGGCUGAUCAAGUCAGAUGUGAAAGCCCGGAGCUCAACUCCGGGACUGCAUUUGAAACUGGUCGGCUAGAGUGCAGGAGAGGAAAGUGGAAUUCCUAGUGUAGCGGUGAAAUGCGUAGAUAUUAGGAAGAACACCAGUGGCGAAGGCGGCUUUCUGGACUGUAACUGACGCUGAGGUACGAAAGCGUGGGGAGCGAACAGGAUUAGAUACCCCCGUAGUC